AGAGUUUGAUCCUGGCUCAGGAUGAACGCUGGCGGCGUGCCUAACACAUGCAAGUCGAGCGAUUUACUUCGGUAAUGAGCGGCGGACGGGUGAGUAACGCGUGGGUAACCUGCCCUGUACACACGGAUAACAUACCGAAAGGUAUGCUAAUACGAGAUAAAAUACUUUUAUCGCAUGGUAGAAGUAUCAAAGCUUUUGCGGUACAGGAUGGACCCGCGUCUGAUUAGCUAGUUGGUAAGGUAACGGCUUACCAAGGCGGCGAUCAGUAGCCGACCUGAGAGGGUGAUCGGCCACAUUGGAACUGAGACACGGUCCAAACUCCUACGGGAGGCAGCAGUGGGGAAUAUUGCACAAUGGGCGAAAGCCUGAUGCAGCAACGCCGCGUGAGCGAUGAAGGCCUUCGGGUCGUAAAGCUCUGUCCUCAAGGAAGAUAAUGACGGUACUUGAGGAGGAAGCCCCGGCUAACUACGUGCCAGCAGCCGCGGUAAUACGUAGGGGGCUAGCGUUAUCCGGAAUUACUGGGCGUAAAGGGUGCGUAGGUGGUUUCUUAAGUCAGAGGUGAAAGGCUACGGCUCAACCGUAGUAAGCCUUUGAAACUGGGGAACUUGAGUGCAGGAGAGGAGAGUGGAAUUCCUAGUGUAGCGGUGAAAUGCGUAGAUAUUAGGAGGAACACCAGUUGCGAAGGCGGCUCUCUGGACUGUAACUGACACUGAGGCACGAAAGCGUGGGGAGCAAACAGGAUUAGAUACCCUGGUAGUCCACGCCGUAAACGAUGAGUACUAGCUGUCGGAGGUUACCCCCUUCGGUGGCGCAGCUAACGCAUUAAGUACUCCGCCUGGGAAGUACGCUCGCAAGAGUGAAACUCAAAGGAAUCGACGGGGACCCGCACAAGCGGUGGAGUAUGUGGUUUAAUUCGAAGCAACGCGAAGAACCUUACCAGGCCUUGACAUGGGAUGCGAAGACGCAGAGAUGCGUUGGAGGUCAACAUCCACACAGGUGGUGCAUGGUUGUCGUCAGCUCGUGUCGUGAGAUGUUGGGUCAAGUCCCGCAACGAGCGCAACCCUUGUGGCAUGUUGCUAACAGGAAAGCUGAGGACUCAUGCCAGACUGCCGGUGACAAACCGGAGGAAGGCGGGGAUGACGUCAAAUCAUCAUGCCCCUUAUGGCCUGGGCUACACACGUACUACAAUGGCGGCUACAAAGAGCGGCGAGACAGUAAUGUCGAGCGAAUCUCAUAAAAGCCGUCCCAGUUCGGAUUGGAGCCUGCAACCCGGCUCCAUGAAGUUGGAAUCGCUAGUAAUCGCGGAUCAGCAUGCCGCGGUGAAUACGUUCCCGGGCCUUGUACACACCGCCCGUCAA
Molecule: ribosomal RNA, 1358 nt
Filed under: uncultured bacterium
Lineage: Bacteria
Description: partial 16S ribosomal RNA
Rfam family: Bacterial small subunit ribosomal RNA
Source: RNAcentral